Molecule: unclassified non-coding RNA, 377 nt
Filed under: Neodiprion lecontei (redheaded pine sawfly)
Lineage: Eukaryota; Metazoa; Arthropoda; Insecta; Hymenoptera; Diprionidae
Description: fasciculation and elongation protein zeta-2-like, transcript variant X1
Source: RNAcentral
AGGAUUUGUGCUCGUAUUUGACAACAGUGAUACCUUAUCACGUGGACAGUGGCCCAUCUGAUGAUCAAGCUUUACAAGUUCUCAUUAAGAUAUUGAAGGCUAUUAAUCAGGAUAGUCCAACGGUGCCCACAUUAUUAACGGACUACAUAUUGAAAGUUCUGUGCCCCACCUAGUGAUCCACUAGUACAUAUCCUCCGACGUGACAUCGCUGUGCUACGUAUAAACAAGAGAAGAUUUAUUAAGAUGCAGAUUGCUCCUCUCUUCUUGCCAUUGUGCUUUCAUAUAGCACUACAAUAAAUCUUAUAGAAAUAAGCUCUCAUUGAGAUUUCUCUGUAUUUAUGACUCGACGCGAGAAGGCAAAAAUCAAUGUAAUGCCA